GUGUAACACUCUGCUCCCUGCAUGGAGACUGAAGGGAGGCAGGAAAACAAAAACAAGAAGUUUUGAAUUUGGCCAGAGAGAGAUAGAAAAAUAGUUCUAACAUUUUGCUCAUGUUAGGGCAGGAGACUCUAGGAGUGCUGCUGUUGCUUUGAAACUGAUUAACUGUGCAUCUGGCAUUGCCUACCUACUUUCCUAGAUUAUUGUAAAUCAACAGAACUGUCUCAGGUGCUCAUACUCAAAGGAAGCUGGCCCUGUCAAGCAGCCCUGGAAUUCCUCAUCACUAUUCUUCCUUAUGUGAGCACAUCCUAGGGAUGGUCAGCAGUAAACCUGUGAUUGGAGACAGGUUCAUAUGACCCCUCUGCAACACUAUUAUCGUCCACAACAUAUAACUCCUCAAACUAACAAUGGGAAGAGCUGACCCAGAGCCUUUGUACUGAAAAACUGCUCUUAAUAUACAUGAAGAAAUGGAGAUAAUCUUUGUAUGCCCUAACUGAAAGAGAUGUCUGAUGUUUCAAGAGAACAAGAAGAAAAUUUCUAGGCUUUAUUUUCAGAAUAAUACAAGUGAAUGGAAAGAAUCUGAAUUCAAUCAUGGUCCAGUUGCAGACAGAAUGGUGUGUGGACAUCUGGGUUCAAGUUCCAUCUCUAUCAUGCACCACUUGUGUGGUGUCACUGUUGGCAACUCAGUUCAGCCAUCUGCAAAAAAAAUCAUAGUAACCCACUUCAAAAGGCUCAUGUCAGAGUGUUUAAGACCAUAACACACACUUGAAAUUUGUAAAGUUCUGCAUCAACAGUAGGCAAACAUUCUGACCCAAAUGUAGGUGAGCUACAUUGGGCUAUAGUUACUGUGUGAUGUUAACAACUUGUUCAGUGCAGAGAGGUGUUACCACAUCCAUAAGCAUUGCAGAAAACAAAACCCUCAGUUUACUAUUGAACCAAAUCACAGGGAUUGACAGGGUUCUACAUAACACCUAAGCUUCCUUUUUGUGUUCCUCAGAAAUUUUCUUUCCAAUAAAGUAUCCAGAACAGACGUUUUGUUGAAGCCUACAAGAACCCCAUGGGUGUUAGAUUAUUUGCCCCUAUGGUGUAUAAAUGAUGUUGAUAAAAUAAAA
Rhineura floridana is the source of this 1109-nucleotide long non-coding RNA. RefSeq lists it as uncharacterized. Lineage: Eukaryota; Metazoa; Chordata; Lepidosauria; Squamata; Rhineuridae. The record is from RefSeq and is a predicted model, not a curated record. The transcript has 3 exons.